Molecule: non-coding RNA, 9612 nt
Organism: Sus scrofa (pig)
Lineage: Eukaryota; Metazoa; Chordata; Mammalia; Artiodactyla; Suidae
Source: RefSeq, a predicted model, not a curated record
ACAUGCUGCAGGUGCGGCUCUAAAAAGGAAAAAAAAAAAAAAUCCAUUGUUUAUCUGAAAUUCAAAUUUCACUACUGUCCUGAUUUUUGUCUUCUAAAUGUGGUACCUUCUCUCCCUGGAAUGGGUGGGGCACUUAGAUGGUGCCUAGAAGGAGGUGCCAUUUGAGCUGAAACUCGAUUGAGCAGACCAGCGGCCAGAGGGAACAGCAAAGCAUUGGAUGUAUUUGAGGCAUGAAAGGCAGGCUGGUGGGGCUACAGGUCUUUGGGCACAGGGGGGAGGGAUGGGGAGGCAGGCAGAGGGCCGGACAGGGGCCAAACCUUGGAUUAUAGGGCCUCUGAGGCUCAGGAUGGAGUUUGGACCUUUUCUUCUAAGGAGAAAGGGGAGCUAUGGAUUGUUUUGAAGAGGGGGAGUGAUGAAAUGGGAUGGGGGGGUGGGAGAGAGGGAGAGCAGGCAGCCCUGUUGGGAGCCCAUUCCAGUUGCCCAGGCCAGCGAGGAGCAGCCUGGAUUGGGGCCACGUGUCGGUUUGGGUCUGUGGGAAGCGGUUCCAGGGAUGGAGUUGGGAAGGCACGCCUUUAGUUGGGGUGGAAUGCCUGCGGGAGGUAAAGGGCGGGGCAGGGAGUGCCUCACACCUACUGACCCUGAGGCUGCAAAGUGGGCCGGCCCAGGUGGAUGGGCAGGUGCGUCUUCCCUGGUACCCAGCCUGAGGAGGGGGCUGAGGCAGGCAGGGACCAAGGCCGAUUCUCACCCCCACCCCCACCCCCACCCCAUUAGCCAUCCACUAAGAUGGGAGAGGCACCCCGAAGGUGGGAGAGAGUUGUAUGAAUCUUACAAGUGGAGCGGACCUCGGGUGGCCUGUGAUGCUGAGCGCAGUGGAUGCCCCCAGCCGGGUUCUGUGACUGGCACAGACCAGGCAAUCGCGGAGCGGGAGGGAGUGAGGACAGGAGACUGGAGACACAGAUCCUGGGGAGCAGGGUUCCCAGAGAGCAGGCGGGGCGGUGCCUCAGACUGAGCCAGGGUACUCCCACAUGGGUGAUGAAUCCCCUCCCCCGCUCCGGGCUCCCAGGCGCAGGACUGCAGCUCUGAGCCAAGGCCAGGUUGCGGCAGGAGGAGCCUGCAGGCCGCCCAGCCCCGUGGCCCCUGCCCUGGGAGGAAGUGCCGCGAAUAAACACUGCCUAACCGUCCAGCGCAGCGGGUCUGUCACACUCCUGCCGCCGACCAGAUCUCAGCCGCCAGGCUCUCCCGCCCCCCGCCGGGCCAGCAGGCUUUCUGAGGAUGAGGGUGAGAGACCUUCGCCUCCGGGGGCGAUGCGUGCGAGGAAUCCUCACGUCUCUCUUCCUCCUGGGCUGCUGGGGGCUCUCCCGUUUCCCGCAGCUAUUUCUUCAGGCUUUGGAGCCGGAGGAAGUGACUGCUUACCUUGGCCCUGCUGCCGCCUUGGAAGGACCCUCGCCGUCAGCCUCGCCACCCACCUCGCCAGGCCGCCCUCCUGCCCGGCGCCUCUGGAGACGGGCUGCUGGGAGCGUCCUGCACCUGGAGCUGCUGGUGGCCGUGGGUCCCGAUGUCCAGCAGGCUCACCAGGAGGACACGGAGCGCUACGUGCUCACCAACCUCAACAUGGGGUCAGAGCUGCUGAGGGACCCGUCCCUGGGGGCUCAGUUCCGCGUGCACCUGGUGAAGAUGGUUAUUCUGACACAGCCUCAGGAUGCUCCGAAUAUCACAGCCAACAUCACCGCAUCCCUGCGGAGCGUCUGUGAGUGGAGCAGGACGGUCAAUCCCGAGGAUGACGCAGAUCCCAGCCACGCCGACCUCGUCCUUUACAUCACCAGGUUUGACCUGGAAUUGCCCGAUGGUAACCGGCAGGUUCGGGGGGUCACCCAGCUGGGGGGUGCCUGCUCCUCCUCUUGGAGCUGCCUUAUCACAGAGGAUACUGGCUUCGACCUGGGGGUCACCAUCGCCCACGAAAUUGGGCACAGCUUCGGCCUGGAGCACGACGGUGCGCCCGGCAGCGACUGCGAGGCCAGCGGCCACGUGAUGGCGUCCGACGGCGCCGCGCCCGCCCGAGGGGGCCCCACGUGGUCCCCCUGCAGCCGCCGGCAGCUGCAGCGCAUGCUCAGCGCAGGACGCCCGCACUGCGUGUGGGACCCGCCGGGGCCGCAGUCCUGGGCCGCGGGCCGCCCUCCCGAAGCGCACCCUGGCCUCUACUACGGCGCCGACGAGCAGUGCCGCGUCGCCUUCGGCCCUACGGCGGUGGCCUGCACCUUCGCCAGGGAGCAGCUGGACAUGUGCCAGGCUCUCUCCUGUCACACAGACCCCCUGGACCAGAGCAGCUGUAGCCGCCUCCUCAUUCCUCUCCUGGAUGGGACAGAGUGUGGCGUGGGGAAGUGGUGCUCCAAGGGUCACUGCCGCUCCCUGGCGGAGCUGGCCCCCGUGGGGGCAGUGCACGGGGGCUGGUCUAGCUGGGGGCCCGCCAGUCCUUGCUCCCGCUCCUGCGGAGGAGGCGUGGUCACCAGGAGGCGCCAGUGCAACAACCCCAGACCUGCCUUUGGGGGGCGCUCGUGCGUAGGUGCUGACCUCCAGGCUGAGAUGUGCAACACCCAGGCCUGCGAGAAGACCCAGCUGGAGUUCAUGUCCCAGCAGUGCGCACAGACCGACGGGGAGCCUCUGCGCCUCUCCCCGGGCAGCACCUCCUUCUAUCACUGGGGCGCCGCCGCGCAGUACAGCCAAGGGGACACUCUGUGCAGACACAUGUGCUGGGCGGUUGGCGAGAGCUUCAUUGUGCGGCGUGGGGACAGGUUCCUGGACGGGACUCGGUGUGUGCCCGGCGGCCCCCGACAGGACGGGACCCUGAGCCUGUGCGUGUCAGGCAGCUGCAGGACGUUCGGCUGUGACGGCAGGAUGGAUUCCGGGCAGGUGCCAGACAUGUGCCAGGUGUGCGGCGGGGACAACAGCACGUGCAGGCCACAGAACGGCUCUUUCACGGCUGGAAGGGCCAGAGAGUAUGUCACCUUCCUGACUGUCACCCCCAACCUGACCAACAUCCAUGUCAUCAACCACAGGCCUCUCUUCACGCACCUGGCUGUGCGGAUCCGCGGGCGCUACGUCGUGGCUGGAAAUGCCAGCAUCUCUCCCAGCAUCACCUACCCCUCCCUCCUGGAGGACAGCCGUGUCGAGUACAGAGUGGCCCUGACUGAGGACCGGCUGCCCCACCGGGAGGAGCUCCGCAUCCGGGGACCCACCCAGGAGGACCUGGAGAUCCAGGUUUACAGGCGCUACGGCCAGGAGUACGGCCGCCUCGCCCGCCCAGACAUCACCUUCACCUACUUCCAGCCUGAGCAGCAGCAGGCCUGGGCGUGGGCUCCUGUGCGGGGGGCCUGCUCGGUGAGCUGUGGGGCAGGGCUGCGUCAGGUGACCUACAGCUGUUGGGACCAGGCCAGGAAUGCAUGGGUGGAGGCUGCCCUGUGUGCAGGGAGCCGGCGGCCGGCGGCGUGGUCCGAGUCCUGCACCCCUGCUCCCUGCCCCCCAUUCUGGGCAGUUGGAGACUUCGGCCCGUGCAGCGCUUCCUGCGGGGGAGGCCUGCAGGAGCGGGCGGUGCGCUGUGUGGAGGCCCAGGGUGGCCUCCUAAGGACGUUGCCCCGCUUGCGGUGCAGAGCGCUGGCCCAGCAACCUGCGGCCGUGGAGACCUGCAACGCACAGCCCUGCCCCACGAGAGAGACAUCGGACACCUGCCCGUCAGCCUGUGGAGCAGAACUGGCCGUGCAGAAUGUGACGUGUGUGCAGGGGGCAGAGGGCAUGGGGGCGCUGGCCACUGCUGGGCCCUGCCCCACAGACCAGAAGCCAUCUGCCCUAGAGCCAUGUAUCGAGGUGACGUGUCCUCCAGGCUGGGGCCAUCUGGAGGCCCAGUCUCCAGGCGAAGAGGCUGUGUCCCCAGCGGGCAGUGCCAGGCUGGAGGUUCAGGCCGCACACGUGUGGACUCCCCUGACGGGGCCGUGCUCCGUCUCCUGUGGUCAAGGCCUGAUGGAGCUGUAUUUCGUGUGCGUGGACUCUGCCCUCGGGACCCCGGUCCAGGAAGAGAUGUGUGACCUGGCAGCCAGGCCUGGGAGGCGGCAGGAGGUCUGCCAGGCUGCCCCGUGCCCGGCAUGGUGGGAGACCCGAGCCCUGGCCCCGUGCCCGGUGACCUGCGGAGGUGGGCAGGUGCCGCUGGCUGUUCGCUGUGUGCGGAUGGACCGCGGCCGCCUUGUCCCCCUGCCUCAUGCCAAGUGCUGGCCGCUGCCCCGGCCCAGGCCCUUUGAGGACUGCAGCCCCGAGCCCUGCCCUGCCAGGUGGCGGUACAAGCUGGCGGCCUGCAGCGUGAGCUGUGGCGGGGGGGUGGUGCAGAGGAUCCUGUAUUGUGCCCGGGCCCACGGAGAGGACAAGGACGAGGAGAUCCUGCCGGAUACCCAGUGCGAGGGGCUGCCUCGCCCAGAGCAGCAGGAGGCCUGCAGCCCGGAGCCCUGCCCGCCCAGGUGGAAAGUCACAUCCCUUGGCCUGUGUUCGGCCAGCUGUGGUCUUGGCACUGCCACACGCUCGGUAGCCUGUGUGCAGCUGGACCAAGGCCGGGACACGGAGGUGGAUGGGGCAGCUUGUGCGGGUCUGGUGCGGCCACAGGCCAGCAUCCCCUGCGUUGUUGCCGACUGCGCCUUCCGGUGGCAUGUCGGCGCCUGGAUGCAGUGCUCUGUCUCCUGUGGGGAUGGCAUCCAGCGCCGGCACGACGCCUGCCUCGGACCCCAGGCCCAGGUGCCUGUGCCAGCCGUCUUCUGCCAGCACUUGCCCAAGCCAGUGACCGUGCAGGGCUGCUGGGCCGGGCCCUGUGCAGGCCAAAGGACGCCCAGCCCCGCAUCUCUCGAGGAAGCCACUGCUCCCAGCCAGACCACAGCUGCCACUGCUGGUGCUUCCCCGGCGUGGCCCCAGCGUGGGGACCGCCUCCUCUCCCUGCAUCCCCAGGAGGGCCCAGCGGAGUCCAGUUAUGCUUCUCCCUCCUUUCUGUCCGGGCGGGUGACUGGCUUUGAGGGGGGGUGGGCCGAGGCACCGAUCCCUGGGAUAUCUGGGAUGUGCUCCUCCCGGGGGUCUGCUGAGAGUGGCUGCGGCUCUCGGGAUGCUGGGAUGCGUGGGGCUGGGCUCGGGGCAGGCCCUCUUCCCCAUGGGGAAACUGCCUGCUCACUUUGAUUUCAUCAUGGGAAGGUAGCUUGAAGGUUUCACAGAGUCGGAAUCCUGGCCUCUGUGACCCACUGUCCACACCGCCUCCCUCUUGCUGGAGCAUCAGGGGCGGCUCUGUGCCUUAGGUGAUGAUGCUGGGACCCACGCAGCCUUCUCCUUGCCUGAGGCUUCCGGCAGGGUCUGGGGGGGCUAUAGGAGGACCCUAGCCACCCCAGCCUUGAAUUCUUCUUGCCCAGCUUGGAAAGCCCCCCACACUGCCUUGCUGGGGGGACACUCUUGCUCACCUGCCCUCCCGCACCCUUUCCAGGUGCCUGUGGCCAGCAGUACCUUGAACCGACAGGAACCAUUGACAUGCGAGGCCCAGAACAGGCUGACUGUGCAGUAGUCAUUGGGCGGCCCCUGGGGGAGGUGGUGACUCUGCGAGUCCUUGAGAGCUCCCUCAACUGCAGCGCUGGGGAGAUGCUGCUGCUUUGGGGCAGGCUCACAUGGAGGAAGAAGUGCGAGAGACUGUCUGGCAUGACUUUCAGCACCAAAGCCAACACGCUGAUGGUGAGGCAGCGUCUCGUGCAGCUGGGAGGCGGGGUGCUGCUGCGAUAUUCAAGCCAGCCUGCCCCUGGAACCUUCCACCGAGAGUGUGACAUGCAGCUCUUUGGACCCAGGGGUGAAAUCGUGAGCCCAUCAACGAGCCCAGAUGGAAGGCAUGUGGGGGGCUGCCGCAUCUUCAUUAGCGUGGCUCCCCGGGCCCGCAUCGCCAUCCACGCCCUGGUCACAGACGCGGCCACCGGAACCGAUGGCACCGAUGCCAGCUACGUCUUGAUCCGGGACAUCCACAGCCUGAGGACAACGGCAUUUCAUGGGCAGCAGACGCUCUACUGGGAGUCAGAGGGCAGCCAGGCAGAGAUGGAGUUUAGUCAGGGCUUCCUGGACGCCCACACCAGCCUGCGGGGCCAGUACUGGACCCUCCAGAAAGGAGUUCAUUAGCCCAGCAGUGCCCUGCCUUAGCGCCCUCCAAAAGCCCAUCCCACAGUUGACCAGUGGGCACAGUCCUGGAAGGAAGGGGAGGAACCCGACAUCUGUGAUCAUCCCCUGUUAGGUGCCUGGCCAGCCCUGGAGGGGUAACUCUGGUGUCUGAGCCCUUUCCAAUUCGAAUUCCCUCCAAUCUUAAGUAUUUCCUUUAUGGCCUCCUCCAACGCGCAAAAUGCUGCGGGGUGGGAGGGGGGACUCCAGAAAGGCAGCCCCCAGGCCCUCGGUACCAAUAAACAGAAGGUGCGGUCUGAGUGGCGUUUUCCUUACUUAACCUGUCCAAAUGUGGCUAGAAAACCCACCCCACGGCAGGCCGGGGAUUCCCUGGCCACGGCUGGGCUCCAGACCUAGCCCACAUCUGAGCAAACCCCUGGCCGCCCCUAGCGAUCGCCUUCCUACCCAGCGAGGGGAGGCGAGGUUGUCGGAGUCACAACCGGGCCCUGAGGCUGGCGCACCUGUUAAUUCUCGGCGGGGUCCCGCCCCUACGCUAGUCGGGGUGGGAGUAUUUGACGGCCCCGGAGUCUCGCGGCGCCAGGACCCGCCCCCUAUGCUAAUAAGCACGAGCCCCUCGGGCGCACGCUGUCCGAGGCCCUGUGGGCCCCGCCCCCAAGCUGAGAACUGGGGCUCCUUCGGGCACACCUAGCCGCGGCCCCACCUCUAUGCUAAUGAGCCCGAGCCUCGGGGCGAACUUCGCCCGACCCCCGAGAGCCCCGCCCCCUAUGCUAAUAAGAGGCCGCCUCUCCCACAAGGCAGCGCGCCGGGACGACGCGGCCGGCUCCGGAGCCCUUUGUGAGGGCGGCGGGCAUCGCCGGACGGCGGCACCAUGAGCGGCUCAAGCGGAGCGGCGGUAGCGUCCGUGAACUCGGCGCCGCCCGCACAGGAGGAGGGCAUGACAUGGUGGUACCGCUGGCUGUGUCGCCUGUCGGGGGUGUUAGGGGCUGUCUGUGAGUAUCCGGCCCGGGGGAGGGGCCGAGGGGGCAGGCUCCACCGCAAGCUGCGCAUGCGCGCCGGCUCCCCCCCCCGCCCCGCCCCGCCCUGCCCGGAAAGUGGUCCUGGUUGGGGUCAGGCACUGCUGCCACGCGCUGGGCAGGGGAGAGGCUGGGGCGGCGGAAAGCGCACGCUUCUACGGUUGCCAUAGUUACCGGCCCGCAGCCUGGGCUCCCGGGUCCGGGGCUGCCUGGUAGCGCUAGAGUCGUUCUCCGGGGGCGGGGGAUGGGGGGAAUGGGGCGGUGACCGCCCCCCCGGCGGGGAGCGGUGGACUCCACGCGGCCAAGUCACUGCCUCUCUACGGCUUCUCCGAGCGUGAGGGCAGGGUGGCACCUCCUCCGGAGGCCUUCUGAGAUUUCCCAGAUGCUCGUUAUAAAGCUCCGGCUCAGCCCGGCCUGGAGGCCACCCCACCUGUUGACGCUGAUGUGGGCCGCGGCCGCCUUAACUUUUGGGCGAAGGUUGUUUCUUGUGCCAUCUCCGGCCUCUUCAACUGCAUCACCAUCCACCCUCUGAACAUCGCGGCCGGUGUGUGGAUGAUCAUGAACGCGUUCAUCCUGCUGCUCUGCGAGGCGCCCUUCUGCUGCCAGUUCGUUGAGUUCGCAAACACGGUGGCGGAGAAGGUGGACCGGCUGCGCUCCUGGCAGAAGGCCGUCUUCUACUGCGGGAUGGCCGUGGUUCCCGUCGUCAUCAGCCUCACCCUGACCACGCUGCUGGGCAACGCCAUCGCCUUCGCCACCGGAGUGCUCUACGGACUCUCUGCUCUGGGCAAAAAGGGCGACGCAAUCUCCUACGCCAGGAUCCAGCAGCAGAAGCAGCAGGCUGACGAGGAGAAGCUCACGGCCACGCUGGAGGGGGAGCUGUGAUGUGGGUAGGGGGCACGACCCUGAGGGACAGCCCGGAAGAGGAGCCUGUGCCUGGCUCGCAGUCCCCCUCACCUGUCCCCACCCCGGAGUCCUCUUCUGUCUGCUUCGCCCCCAGGGUGAGGGCUCUGGGGCGGUGGGGCCGGCAGCCGGGGCCUCGGGUGACCCAGAGCAGAGCCUGCGCGGCCCUGCAGACAGCUCACCUGACCCUGUCUUCCCAGCCGCCUGGGUGGAUGUCAGACGUACAUGCUGGCAGGACCACUGGAGUCCUGCUGAGGGCCAGGAAGGAGCUGCUUCUGGUCCUGUCUCGAGGUGGGAGGCCCAGCAGCCCAGGCCUGGGCAUCGGCCACAGGGGCCUCCACUCAGCUCUCAGGCCCGUGGGCAUCCUGGAAGCUGGGCCGCCUCUGUCCUCCCGUCCUCAGGGCCCCCCUGCUGCCCAGGGCCCCUGCCACUGUCCUCCGUGCGAGCCACGGUGCUCCCCACAGGCCCCUCAAGUGCCCACGAUGGCAGCCUUGGCAGUGACGCAACUGCUGGUGGGGGCAUCCCCCCACUUCCCUGGGGCCUUGGACCAGCGCAGAACCAGAGCACUUCCUGUGGGCCCACUGGUCCCCAGCGUCUCCCCGCCCCAGACCUGGUGCUGAGGAAGUGGGCAGGGCAGGGCUGCCCGCAGGGACCUGCCUGUCUUUCAGGAGCCGGGCAGAGCCUGGAGCUGCCCUGCCAUCCCUUCCUCCCGCCUCUGCCCACCAGCCACUCUGGCCAGACUGGACUUCAGAGGGGCCCGGGCAGCCCAGGGCAGAGGUGAGCCCACGUGGAGAUGCUUGGUCUGGGUCUUAGCCGCUGCUCCUCCCAGGACCGCAGGCUGGGCCUGCUCACUUGGCUUCUGGAUGGACUUCGCAUCUCUGGCGUGUGUCAGUGUUGGGGCUGGGAAGGCAGGCGCUGGCCAGGGGACAGCAGCGUCCCCCAGCGGCUCUCCAGGGAGCCCGAGCAGGCUGAGCCCUGGGUGGUGGGGGUGGGGCACGUGCCUUCAGGGGUCCUCCGGGCCCACCUUCCUCAGGCCAGUGCUGUGAUGAAAGGGCUGUGGGCCACAGGCCUCUCCAGGCCGGCGGGGCGUGUGCGUGCGUGUGCGUCUUCUCCUGCGUGUGCUGUGAAUAAGACCUGUCUACCUCGCCGGAGGAGCGAGGGCCCUGCCCGCCCCUCUUGGCUCAUUCUUCCCCAGGAAGUGGCCCUCUGGGGUCGCUCCUGCCCCUGCCUUCGGGGCCUUGCUGGCAGGGGUCUCCUUGCUGCAGAAGGGCUGGCUGUGUUUCUGGGAAGCUGGGCGGGCAGUGGGUGGGCUCUCUACCCCCUUGGUCACUGGCCUGGGUGGGCAGGUCGCUUGCGGAGGUUCCCGGAGCUGUGAUCCUGUCUCCCAGAGGGGGUGGGGGGCCACCAUGCAGGGUGGCGGAGGGUGGGGGGGUACGCCCACCUUUGGGUCUAGGCUCUGUCCUCUUGUGGUCUGUGUUCACUCUCAGCAUCAGCUCGCAUUUUCAGCAAUAAAGCCUGGUGGUGGCUUGCA